Long non-coding RNA from Melospiza melodia melodia, 218 nucleotides. RefSeq lists it as uncharacterized. The transcript is spliced from 3 exons. Lineage: Eukaryota; Metazoa; Chordata; Aves; Passeriformes; Passerellidae. The record is from RefSeq and is a predicted model, not a curated record.
CAAUAGUUGUCAGUAACAUCAAACUGACGUCAUCCUCGGGACAAAAUGCAGUAGAGAAUGGGGUAUGACAAGUGCCAUUGUCACUCAUUAUCCUGUGAACACAUGGAAGACAAUGGAAGGUCAACUACCUAAAUAAGUGCAGAUGGUGGAGCUGAACAUGGGAUAUCUUUGUCCAUCCUGGAGAUGCAGGCGUACGAAUAGUUCUACUGGAUAUACAG